GGGGGAGUGGCGGAACUGGCAGACGCGCAUGGCUUAGGACCAUGUGCCGCAAGGCUUGGGGGUUCGAGUCCCCCCUUCCCCACCA
Molecule: transfer RNA, 85 nt
Filed under: Dehalococcoidia bacterium
Lineage: Bacteria; Bacillati; Chloroflexota; Dehalococcoidia
Description: tRNA-Leu
Rfam family: tRNA
About the family: Transfer RNA (tRNA) molecules are approximately 80 nucleotides in length. Their secondary structure includes four short double-helical elements and three loops (D, anti-codon, and T loops).
Source: RNAcentral